Molecule: long non-coding RNA, 625 nt
Organism: Ananas comosus (pineapple)
Lineage: Eukaryota; Viridiplantae; Streptophyta; Magnoliopsida; Poales; Bromeliaceae
Exons: 7
Source: RefSeq, a predicted model, not a curated record
UAAGCCUCUCUGAGCUCAGCAAGGUAGGUUUGAGGGUUUCCUUCUCUCUCUAGAAUCUCUCUCUCUCUCUACAAAGAAAUCGACGCUUUCGCUUGUUUUCGUCGCUUUGCUUGUUCUUCGCUAGUUGCGAGUGUUGCGGAGCCCUUGUGAACGUGUGAGAGAGUACUUUGGAAGUCUUUUCGCAGCUCUGGACCAGUGAGCUGCUGGUUAGAGGCUUGAAGAGCUGAGAGAAAAAGGGGAUUUGCCGCUUUGACAGGAUCAGAUACUAUAGCUUAGCUCAGUUGGAACUGAGUUUAUGAUCUAAGAAGCAGCAGGUUUGGAAAUUGAUUCCAGCAGCUAGAGAGGAGUUAUCUAGCUGUGAUUUACCCAUUUCUAAUCUAGGGAAAGGCUGCUUUGAAGCUUGGUGAAGGUUUCCGAAUCACUCUGAGUUAAUUGGUGACCUUGGGAACGGGUUUGAAAAAUAUUUCAACUAAGGCGUGGGUGCAACCGACCUGUGAAUCAUCUUCAAUUGACAUUGGAGAGCCUUUAGAGGUUAAAUUGGAGCAAGGUUGAGGCCUAGUUGAGCUAAUUUCGGGACUCUUUUCGGCUGAAUCGAGCUUAGUGCUAGAGCCAUCUACAGGAGAGG